AGACACCCACUUGACGUACUUUAGAGUGGAUGACUGUGAUAUGGAGAGAGGUAGCGAAGAAGUAAAUAUUCUAGUUGAUACAUCAAAUACUGAAACUACUCCUCUUUGGACAAUCAAGUACGAGCUAUUGUCCGCAUUAGCCAAUACACCCAUAGUUCUAUCAUUAGAAUCACUACCUGCACUAGAAUUAAAGCCACUUCUAGUCACACUCAAGUAUGCAUUCCUAGGACCUAAUGACAUCCUCCCAGUGAUCAUUGCAUCAGACUUGACCCC
This 273-nucleotide long non-coding RNA is filed under the name Elaeis guineensis (African oil palm). Its description in RNAcentral is "long non-coding RNA (EGUI_LNC071616)". Lineage: Eukaryota; Viridiplantae; Streptophyta; Magnoliopsida; Arecales; Arecaceae. The record is from RNAcentral.